UUUGUUUAGCCGCACGGCCAACAAUUCUCGGGUACAUUGUUGAGGAUACCAACAGUGAAAUAAGGAAGAACCGAAUGUUAAGAGAAAUUCCCCCAGAUGGCGCCACGAGUAUUAAACAAAACAACGACUAAGGAAAGUGGAGAAGCUAUCUCGACUGCGUUACGCGUUAUUAUUCCUCUCCUGUCGUUACUACUGGCAGAAGUGAGCCAACAACUCUAUUGCGAUGAGCUGUUUAACACCGUCGCGACUCAUUGAAUCAACCUGCGUGAUCGAUGAAAGUCCGAAUUCCACAUCAACGAAUGAAAAGUCGGCAACUUGCUUGCUGCAAUUGACUGUCGAGGAACCAAAAUCUUACGAAGAAAGUGAAAUGAAGACAAAAAAAUUCGUUCUGGAUCUCCCUCCGGAAACUUUGAACACUCUUUUAGACGGUCUUACCAGAAUACGAGAACAACUAUCAACCGUUGCCCGAAAAUAAUGUUACAUAUUGUAUAACAUGACCGUUUAGUUAAGAUCUAUAAAUAUUGGUGAAUAAAAAAAAAAAAUUACUGUAAAUUGAGAAUGUGAGAACC
This is a long non-coding RNA of Neodiprion virginianus, 569 nucleotides long. RefSeq lists it as uncharacterized. The record is from RefSeq and is a predicted model, not a curated record. The transcript has 3 exons. NCBI's taxonomy places the organism in Eukaryota, Metazoa, Arthropoda, Insecta, Hymenoptera, Diprionidae.